GCCCUACGGGGGGCAGCAGUGGGGGAUAUUGCACAAUGGGGGAAACCCUGAUGCAGCGACGCCGCGUGUGGGAAGACGGUCUUCUGGAUCGUAAACCACUGUCCCCAGGGACGAAAAUGACGGUACCUGGGGAGGAAGCUCCGGCUAACUACGUGCCAGCAGCCGCGGUAAUACGUAGGGAGCAAGCGUUGUCCGGAAUUACUGGGUGUAGAGGGAGCGUAGGCGGGGAUGCAAGUUGGGUGUCAAAACUAUCGGCUCAACCGAUAGUCGCACUCAAAACUGCAGCUCUUGAGUGAAGUAGGGGG
This 305-nucleotide ribosomal RNA is filed under the name uncultured bacterium. Its description in RNAcentral is "bacterial SSU rRNA". It matches the Rfam family "Bacterial small subunit ribosomal RNA", at positions 335 to 658 of the family's 1533-position model. The record is from RNAcentral.